Molecule: ribosomal RNA, 459 nt
Filed under: uncultured bacterium
Lineage: Bacteria
Description: SSU rRNA
Rfam family: Bacterial small subunit ribosomal RNA
Source: RNAcentral
AGAAUCAACGCUGGCGGCGUGCCUAACACAUGCAAGUCGCACGAGAAAGGGGAGCAAUUCCUGAGUAAAGUGGCGCACGGGUGAGUAACACGUGAAUAAUCUACCUCCGAGUGGGGAAUAACUGAGAGAAAUCUUAGCUAAUACCGCAUAACACUUACGAGUCAAAGCAGCAAUGCGCUUGGAGAGGAGUUCGCGGCCGAUUAGUUAGUUGGCGGGGUAAUGGCCCACCAAGACGAUGAUCGGUAUCCGGCCUGAGAGGGCGCACGGACACACUGGAACUGAAACACGGUCCAGACUCCUACGGGAGGCAGCAGUGGGGAAUUUUGCGCAAUGGGGGAAACCCUGACGCAGCAACGCCGCGUGGAGGAUGAAGCCCCUUGGGGUGUAAACUCCUUUCGAUCGGGAAGAUAAUGACGGUACCGAUAUAAGAAGCCCGGCUAACUUCGUGCCAGCAGCCGC